RNAcentral lists this ribosomal RNA (468 nucleotides) under uncultured bacterium. RNAcentral describes it as "partial 16S ribosomal RNA". It matches the Rfam family "Bacterial small subunit ribosomal RNA", at positions 28 to 507 of the family's 1533-position model. The record is from RNAcentral.
GACGAACGCUGGCGGCGUGCUUAACACAUGCAAGUCGAACGGAAAGACCCUGCGUUUGUGGGGUUCUCGAUUGGCGAACGGGUGAGUAACACGUGAGUAACCUGCCCUUGACUUUGGGAUAACUUCAGGAAACUGGGGCUAAUACCGGAUAGGAGCUCCUGCUGCAUGGAGGGGGGGGGAAAUUUUCGGCUGUUGGGGAUGGACUCGCGGCUUAUCGGCUUGUUGGUUGGGUAGUGGCUUACCAAGGCUUUGACGGGUAGCCCGCCUGAGAGGGUGACCGGCCACAUUGGGACUGAGAUACGGCCCAGACUCCUACGGGAGGCAGCAGUGGGGAAUAUUGCACAAUGGGAGGAAGCCUGUUGCAGAAACGCCGCGUGCGGGAUGCCGGCCUUUGGGUUGUGAACCGCUUUCGCCUGUGACGACGCGUGAGUGACGGUACUGGGUAAAGAAGCACCGGCUAACUACGUG